RNAcentral lists this long non-coding RNA (234 nucleotides) under Elaeis guineensis (African oil palm). Its description in RNAcentral is "long non-coding RNA (EGUI_LNC067989)". The record is from RNAcentral. Lineage: Eukaryota; Viridiplantae; Streptophyta; Magnoliopsida; Arecales; Arecaceae.
CCAAUUAAUAAUUGAAUUACUAAUCGAUCCUCCUGCAAUACUUGCACUAGGUUAAAUGUCAAUCGUAUUGAACGUUUAACACUAGAACGAUUCUUAAUCAUUGAUCAACCAUCUGAUCAGAUCAUGAACUCUAAUAUAUAUGACCUCAUAGAUCUGAAUCUAAGUCAGUAGUAUAGGAAUAAAUUUUUAUACCAAUCGAAGUGACCAUCUAGCAAUGGUACCCGAUGGUCGGAU